AGGGACAAUCGACCGUCUAGGUGAUGGAGGCAAAAGGCAAUAACAGGUCUGUGAUGCCCUUAGAUGUUCCGGGCUGCACGCGCGCUACACUGACAGAGACAACGAGUGGGGCCCCAUGUCCGAAAUGACUGGGUAAACUUGUGAAACUUUGUCGUGCUGGGGAUGGAGCUUUGUAAUUUUUGCUCUUCAACGAGGAAUUCCUAGUAAGCGCAAGUCAUCAGCUUGCGUUGACUACGUCCCUGCCCUUUGUACACACCGCCCGUCGCUACUACCGAUUGAAUGGAAGGGCGACACGCGAUUGCAGUCAA
Molecule: ribosomal RNA, 308 nt
Filed under: Glonium stellatum
Lineage: Eukaryota; Fungi; Ascomycota; Dothideomycetes; Gloniales; Gloniaceae
Description: partial small subunit ribosomal RNA
Rfam family: Eukaryotic small subunit ribosomal RNA
Source: RNAcentral